AACGAACGCUGGCGGCAGGCUUAACACAUGCCAGUCGAGCGCCUCGCCAGAGGAGCGGCCGACGGGUGAGUAACGCGUGGGAACGUACCCUUAUCUUCGGAAUAGCUCUGGGAAACUGGAAGUAAUACCGAAUGUGCCCUUAGGGGGAAAGAUUUAUCGGAUAAGGAUCGGCCCGCGUUGGAUUAGCUAGUUGGUGGGGUAAAGGCCUACCAAGGCGACGAUCCAUAGCUGGUCUGAGAGGAUGAUCAGCCACAUUGGGACUGAGACACGGCCCAAACUCCUACGGGAGGCAGCAGUGGGGAAUAUUGGACAAUGGGCGCAAGCCUGAUCCAGCCAUGCCGCGUGAGUGAUGAAGGCCUUAGGGUUGUAAAGCUCUUUCACCGGAGAAGAUAAUGACGGUAUCCGGAGAAGAAGCCCCGGCUAACUUCGUG
This 431-nucleotide ribosomal RNA is filed under the name uncultured bacterium. RNAcentral describes it as "partial 16S ribosomal RNA". It matches the Rfam family "Bacterial small subunit ribosomal RNA", at positions 29 to 507 of the family's 1533-position model. The record is from RNAcentral.